GAGCGCCGGACGCGUUGAAAGGCGCACGUCCGGUGCGGGAGGCGACUCGAGGAGACGGGCUGGGCGCGAGCCCAGCACCGCGCCUCGGGUCGACCUCAC
Non-coding RNA from Frankia sp., 99 nucleotides. NCBI's taxonomy places the organism in Bacteria, Bacillati, Actinomycetota, Actinomycetes, Frankiales, Frankiaceae. The record is from Rfam.